UGCGGAUUGGUGUAAUGGUAGCACGACUGACUCUGGAUCAGUUUGUCAGGGUUCAAAUCCUUGAUCCGCAGCCA
RNAcentral lists this transfer RNA (74 nucleotides) under Thermoclostridium caenicola. RNAcentral's name for it is "tRNA-Gln". It matches the Rfam family "tRNA". From Rfam's summary of the family: Transfer RNA (tRNA) molecules are approximately 80 nucleotides in length. Their secondary structure includes four short double-helical elements and three loops (D, anti-codon, and T loops). Lineage: Bacteria; Bacillati; Bacillota; Clostridia; Eubacteriales; Oscillospiraceae. The record is from RNAcentral. RNAcentral also lists the same sequence under 2 other names.